AACCAUUCUCACCUGCGGCUAGACCUGCGGAAGGAUCAUUAUCGAGUUGCAAAACUCCAACCCUUUGUGAACAUACCUCAGUCGUUGCUUCGGCGGUGGACGGCCUGUUUUUCGGAACGGCCGGAAGCCGCCGGAGGUUCCAAACUCGUAUUUUUUAGUGUAUCUCUGAGCCUGAAAACAAAUAAUCAAAACUUUCAACAACGGAUCU
This 208-nucleotide unclassified non-coding RNA is filed under the name soil metagenome. Its description in RNAcentral is "partial contains 5.8S ribosomal RNA, internal transcribed spacer 2, and large subunit ribosomal RNA". The record is from RNAcentral.